CCUACGGGCGGCAGCAGUCGAGAAUCAUUCACAAUGGGGGAAACCCUGGUGGUGCGACGCCGCGUGGGGGAAUGAAGGUCUUCGGAUUGUAAACCCCUGUCAUGUGGGAGCAAAUUAAAAAGAUAGUACCACAAGAGGAAGAGACGGCUAACUCUGUGCCAGCAGCCGCGGUAAUACAGAGGUCUCAAGCGUUGUUCGGAAUCACUGGGCGUAAAGCGUGCGUAGGCUGUUUCGUAAGUCGUGUGUGAAAGGCGCGGGCUCAACCCGCGGACGGCACAUGAUACUGCGAGACUAGAGUAAUGGAGGGGGAACCGGAAUUCUCGGUGUAGCAGUGAAAUGCGUAGAUAUCGAGAGGAACACUCGUGGCGAAGGCGGGUUCCUGGACAUUAACUGACGCUGAGGCACGAAGGCCAGGGGAGCGAAAGGGAUUAGAUACCCUUGUAGUC
This 446-nucleotide ribosomal RNA is filed under the name uncultured bacterium. RNAcentral describes it as "partial 16S ribosomal RNA". It matches the Rfam family "Bacterial small subunit ribosomal RNA", at positions 338 to 795 of the family's 1533-position model. The record is from RNAcentral.